Molecule: ribosomal RNA, 455 nt
Filed under: uncultured bacterium
Lineage: Bacteria
Description: bacterial SSU rRNA
Rfam family: Bacterial small subunit ribosomal RNA
Source: RNAcentral
AGAGUUUGAUCAUGGCUCAGAGCGAACGCUGGCGGCAGGCUUAACACAUGCAAGUCGAGCGGGCGUAGCAAUACGUCAGCGGCAGACGGGUGAGUAACGCGUGGGAACGUACCUUUUGGUUCGGAACAACACAGGGAAACUUGUGCUAAUACCGGAUAAGCUCUUACGGGGAAAGAUUUAUCGCCGAAAGAUCGGCCCGCGUCUGAUUAGCUAGUUGGUAGGGUAAUGGCCUACCAAGGCGACGAUCAGUAGCUGGUCUGAGAGGAUGAUCAGCCACAUUGGGACUGAGACACGGCCCAAACUCCUACGGGAGGCAGCAGUGGGGAAUAUUGGACAAUGGGGGCAACCCUGAUCCAGCCAUGCCGCGUGAGUGAUGAAGGCCCUAGGGUUGUAAAGCUCUUUUGUGCGGGAAGAUAAUGACGGUACCGCAAGAAUAAGCCCCGGCUAACUUCGUG